This 832-nucleotide ribosomal RNA is filed under the name uncultured eukaryote. Its description in RNAcentral is "SSU rRNA". It matches the Rfam family "Eukaryotic small subunit ribosomal RNA", at positions 373 to 1212 of the family's 1831-position model. The record is from RNAcentral.
GGGUUCGAUUCCGGAGAGGGAGCCCGAGAAACGGCUACCACAUCUAAGGAAGGCAGCAGGCGCGCAAAUUACCCAAUCCUGACGCAGGGAGGUAGUGACAAGAAAUAACAAAGCAGGUGCAAAUGCAUUCUGCUAUUGGAAUGAGUAGAAUUUAAAUCUCUUUUCGACUAUCAAUUGGAGGGCAAGUCUGGUGCCAGCAGCCGCGGUAAUUCCAGCUCCAAUAGCGUAUAUUAAAGUUGUUGCGGUUAAAAAGUUCGUAGUUGGAUUUCUGUCGGGGACCUCCGGUCCGCACUAUGUGCGUGUAUCUGUAGGGCUCUGGCAUCCUUCCGAAAGACGUUGCUAUGCUUAAUUGCACGGUGCGGAGUUCGGAACUUUUACUUUGAGGAAAUUAGAGUGUUCACGGCAGGCCAAUGCCAUGAAUAUAUUAGCAUGGAAUAAUAAUAUAGGAUUUCGGUUCUAUUUUGUUGGUUCCUAGGGCUGAAAUAAUGAUUAAUAGGGACAAUUGGGGGCAUUCGUAUUAACACGUCUGAGGUGGAAUUCUUAGAUUGUGUUACGACGAACUACUGCGAAAGCAUUUGCCAAGGAUGCUUUCAUUGAUCAAGAGCGAAAGUAAGGGGAUCGAAGACGAUUAGAUACCGUCGUAGUCUUUACCAUAAACUAUGCCAACUAGAGAUGGGGCGUCGUUAUUUUUUGACUCGCUCCGCACCUUAUGAGAAAUCAAAGUUUUUGGGUUCCGGGGGGAGUAUGGUCGCAAGGCUGAAACUUAAAGGAAUUGACGGAAGGGCACCACCAGGAGUGGAGCCUGCGGCUUAAUUUGACUCAACACGGAAGG